Molecule: transfer RNA, 56 nt
Filed under: Ornithodoros zumpti
Lineage: Eukaryota; Metazoa; Arthropoda; Arachnida; Ixodida; Argasidae
Description: tRNA-Asn
Source: RNAcentral
UAAUAGAAGCCAAAAAGAGGCUAUUCACUGUUAAUGAAUUUAUUGACAUUCCUAUU